Molecule: non-coding RNA, 12622 nt
Organism: Callithrix jacchus (white-tufted-ear marmoset)
Lineage: Eukaryota; Metazoa; Chordata; Mammalia; Primates; Cebidae
Source: RefSeq, a predicted model, not a curated record
CAACCUUACUCCUCUUCCAGUUUCCACUACUCUUCCGCUCAGGCCCACCUGAACAAUGCAGCCCACUCCCUGUGGACCCACUGCCAGGCUUGCUGGCUGGGGUCCUCCCUAGGUGGAAUUCACCUCCAUGCCAGUCACCAGCAUUAUCAUCAGGCCCAUGCUCAUCUUUGAUCUUCUCAUUGGUAAUCUUCAGGAUACAUUUGGCAUACUUCCAAAUUAACCACCGGGGAAGGGGAAGGUCUUAAGACUCAGGGCUUACAUACUGUCACAGGAAGAUUAAAGCAUCUUCCUGUCUCCCGCUUCCUCCCCGCCCCUCUUCCUCUCCAUUCGUUUCCCCCCCUCCCCGUUCCGUGCCUUCUUCCCCCGCCCGCGCCGUCCCUCCCCCUCCAACCUCCGGAGCUGGAAAGAGAGUCAAGAUGGCGGCUAAAUCCGAUGGUGGUGGCCUGGGGGGCUUCGCUCAGCUGCACAACCUGGACGAGGCGGUGGGCAGCGGCGGCGACGGCAGCGAGCCCGGCGAGAGCAGCUCGCUGCACAUCUGCCACUGCUGCAACACCUCCUCGCGCUACUGGGGCUGCCGCUCCGCCUGCCUGCGCUCCCUCCUGGGCAGGAAGCCGCGCCGCAGCGCCGCCGCCAACGGGGGGACCAGCCGCUGCAGCCUCCCGCGGCCCCCGGCGCCGACUGCCAAACUUCGACGCACUCGGCCGCGCGGCCGCAGCCGCCGCAGGUGGAGCGGCCGUGACUCGACUGCCUGUGGAUCGUGCUGGCGCUGCUCCGGUUCCUCGGGAACGUGGACACCGACCUGUGGCUGGCCCUCGACUACUACCACAAGGGGGACUAUGUCUACUUCGGGCUGACCCUCUUCUUCGUGCUGGUGCGGUCGCUGCUGGUGCAGAGCCUGAGCUUCCGCUGGUUAGUGCAGUACUACACGGGCGGCGGGCUGAGCGCCGUGGAGGGGCUCAGCAGCCGGGGGCCCCUCAGGAUGGGGGCCGGCUACGGCUACGGCGCGGCUGUCUCUGCCACGCCGGGGGCGCGGCGCCUGUGCCGCCUCUUCGUGUGGAUCUGGCAGUCGGUCAUCCACCUGCUGCAGAUAGGGCAGGUGUGGAGCUCUCAGUGAAAGACAUGAGGCUUUCACUGAAAUGAGGUUGUUUUGAGGUCAUCUGAUUUCUGACUAGAAGGUUUGCAAAUUUUUUUUGGUGAUGGCAUGUUCAGCAACUUGGAUCCCUAAUUUCAAUAUAUUGGAAAUAUUUAGGAACUCUGGAAAUUAUGUUGUUUUGCAACUUACUAGAUUGAUCAGUAGAUUUCAGUAAAUAUAUAAUAACAGAUAAUUAUGAUGUUGUACUUCUGGGUUGACAUGCAUGUCUCAAAUUAUCAGCUAUCUGUAUUAGUGUCAUACUUUGGAGACAGUUACCUUUUGAAGGUUUUGGGGUUCUUUUUUUUUUUUUUAGACGGAGUUUCGCUCUUGUUACCCAGGCUGGAGUGCAAUGGCGUGAUCUCGGCUCACCGCAACUUCCGCCUUCUGGGUUCAGGCAAUUCUCCUGCCUCAGCCUCCUGAGUAACUGGGAUUACAGGCACGUGCCACCAUGCCCAGCUAAUUUUUGUAUUUUUAGUAGAGAUGGGGUUUCACCAUAUUGACCAAGAUGUUCUCGAUCUCUUGACCUCGUGAUCCACCCUCCUCGGCCUCCUAAAGUGCUGGGAUUACAGGCGUGAGCCACCGCGGCCAGCCCGGUUUUGGGGUUCUUAUGAACCUCAGUUUUUUCAGGUAGUUUAUGUAAUUCUUCCUGUGGCUAUUCUUUUCUGUCUGCUUGCAGUGUAAAUUACUUAGAGGUAGUUAUUUUUAGGAAAAAAGAAAUCAUCAAAUGACAAUUCUUAAGGCAGUAAUGACAAAAUUCCAACCUGGAACUGGUCUCAGAAUGGAAUGCAUUAGAAUAUGCCAAGUCUACCCAGAUUAUAUCCAAAUCUACUUGUGGCACAAUGCUACCAGCUUUCAAAUGGAGACAUUAUUAUGUAGGACAGAAGUACUAAUGAGGAGGGAAAAGGAGUUGUUCAGUUUGCCCCCGCAACAGCCACCCCUUUCUGUUAUUGGGUGAAUGAAUUAAUGCAAAAUUAGUGGCCAAAAGGUAGGCAGUAUGAAUGAAAGGGAAGAGAAGGAAAAAAACUUUAAUCUCCAGGAAAGGUUAUUUACUCUUAAAAAAAAUUGAAAGUUGAGUGUAUUCCAUGUAACUGAACAUGAUAUUUUAAACUGUGGACUGCUUUCAGAAUGUAGACUAGUGUGUUCUCGGCCAUUGGAAUUAAUGAGAAUUUGUAUCUGAUAGGAGAGUCAGAGAGUCUUUGAGUGGUUAUCUUUUUUCUUACCUGUUCCUGGGCCUAAGAGACUUGAGGAACAUUCUAGGGCAGAUACAUAUGAUGGUCAAAUUAUUGACCAAAACAGGGAAGACUGAUUUUUAAGAUGACAUUCCGAGCAACUUGGAAAUGGAUCCAGGGAAAAGGCUGAAGAGAAGGCAAGGCACUAUAGAGACUGAGUAGACGCUCAGGGGAGUGUUCAUGUAUUAGUUUAUUGGAAGUUUCAUUGUUGGUGGAUGGUCCAGUAUUCCUGAAACUAGUGUGUAGCAGAAGUUUUCAUGACAUUUCUAGUGGACGGCUUUUGGAAGCUGAAGAGUUUACCUCAAUACCCUUGGCCCCCUUUUUGCUUUGCUUGUUUUAAGAGAAAUUGACUGAUACGUAUUUAAUAGAAGGCACAGUGAAAACAUUAAGUAGGUUUUUAAAGACCAGGUGUGAUGGCUCAUGCCUGUAAUCUCAGCACUUUGGGAGGCUGAGGUGGGCUGAUCACUUGAGGUCAGGAGUUCAAGACCAGUCUGGCCAACUUAGUGAAACCCCGUCUCUACCAAAAAUAUAAAAAUUAGCCAAGUGUGGUGGCAGCUACCUGUAAUCCCAGCUAUUUAGGAGUCUGAGGCAGGAGAAUCGCUUGAACCCAGUAGGUGGAGGCUGCAGUGAGCUGAGAUUGUGCCACUGUACUCCAGCCUGGGUGACAGAGUGAGACUCCAUCUCAAAAGUAAAAACAAAAAAACCCACAUUAAAUAGGUUUUUAAAAGUCAUGUUAAAUUUUAAUCUGAGCCUCUGUUGCCUGUUUAGUUGCUUUCUCAUUUAGCUGGCUUUUAGAAGAAACUUUCAUUCUAUGAUACUUUCAUCAAGAGAGGUGUUUCCUCUUAGUCAAUUCUAGCCACAAUAUUGACUGGGCCCAGCCAUUUGAUACACCCAGAAGGAAUUAACCAGGCAGGUGAAAACUUGGUCCCUAGUGGAAUGAAUAUUUUAAAGACCAUCUUAGAUUCUGAAAACUGUGAGCACAAAUGAAAGAGACCCAAGAGGGAACGACUUCAGAGCCUAAGAAUAAGAAGUGGUGGUGGGGUUGGGGGACAAACUCACCCAGAACUCUCUUAAAGUGCUCUCAGUGAAGGAAGUGACUUUCCUGGGAAGGAGGAGCUGGUGCACACAUGGCCUGGAGCUGUGGGUGUUCUGAGGUUGGGCAGCUCAUACUAGUGGGCUGCAGUAUCUUACAGGUAGUGGCAUGUGAUCUUUGGAAGUACUGAUAUAUUUCCUAACAAUGAAUUUGAUUUUGUUCUGGUAUGUUCUGAAUGGGUGUAUGGCUCAAAGAUUAACUUAGCUAAAAAUAGAUAUAUUAGAUAUUAGAGAAAAUAUUUAAAAAAAAAAAAAAGAAUCUUCCUGUGAGCCCCUCAGACUAUCAACGUACUGAUUAAUACAGAACCUACUGACAUUGAAAACGACAUCGAUCUGUUUCUGAAUCCUGAAGCUUUGCUGAUUGUCCUGCAUGAAGAACAUUUUAGGCUGGGUGCAUGUCAGCACACGCCUGUAAUCCCAGCACUUUGGAAGGCUGAGGUGGGUAGAUCGCUUGAGGUCAGGAGUUCGAGACUAGCCUGGUCAAAUGCUAAAACCUCAUCUCUACCAAAAAAUACAAAAACUAGGUGGACGUGGUAGUUGAGGUGGGAGAAUCACUUGAACCUGGGAGGCAGAGGUUGCAGUGAGCUGAGAUUGAGAUUACACUGAACCCCAGCCUAGGCAACAGAGUGAGACUCUGCCUCAGGGGGGAAAAAAAAAAUUAGCCUGCAUGUUGUCAUCUGCAGCCCAUGAUUGUAACCUCUAUAUUGUACCCCCAAUGCAGUAAGGCAACUCCAGUACAAGGAGUUCCCCUCUCUUCUGCUAAAUGUUCUUAUAAAAGCCGUUCACCUUGCCGCAGACUCUGGAACAAGCCCAGCUUUCUUGGUGUGACUUCGUUAGUGCGUUUUCCUGUGUCAAUCCUCACUUUUGGCUUCCAAUAAACCUCUAUCGGGUCGUAUCUAUCUCAACAGCCUUAAUUUUGGUCAGCAUCAUCUAAAACUCUGCCCUGGGGAGUGUGAAGCAAAAAUGCAAAAAACAUGUUUUAUUUGAUGGUGGUGACGUUUUCAUUCAGGAAUUUUGACUAUAAAGGCUGGAUUUCUGGCAGGGUGCAGCGGCUCUCACCCGUAAUCCCAGCAUUUUGGGAGGUGGAGGCAGGCGGAUCAUCUGAGGUCAGAGUUCGAGACCAGCCUGACCAACAUGGUGAAGUCCCAUCUCUACUAAAAUACAAAAAUUAGCCAGGUGUGGCAGCAGGCGCCUGUAAUCCCCGCUAUUCAGGAGGCUGAGGAAGGAGAAUCACUUGAACCCAGGAGGCAGAGGUUGCAGUGAGCUGAGAUUGCGCCACUGUACUCCAGCCUGGGGGAGAAGAGCGAGACUUCAUCUAAAAAAACAAAAAGACUGCAUUUCCGGCUUCUUGGAGUUGUGGCAGCCCCAUGCCGGGUUUUCCACUUGGCCUCAUCACCAAAAGCUAAGCAUGCCUCUCCUUUUUAGAAAUUUGGGGCCAGGUGCAGUGGCUCACUCCUGUAAUCCUAGCACUUUGGGAGGCCAGGGUGGGUGUAUCACCAGAGGUCAGGAGUUCAAGACCAGCCUGGCCAUAGGGUGAAACCCCAUCUUUAUUUAAAAAAAAAAAAAGAAAAAGAAAGAAAGUUGGUAGUCUCUGCUUCUCCUUGGCCAUUCUAUAACCUGUUCUUGUCCUGUGGGAGCUUUUGCUUGACCCACUUCACAGGCUGGGGUCAGAUUCCUCAGCUUGACCCUCAAGGCCUUUCCCAUUCAGGCAACGUCACCUCUCUGCUGUCUUCCUUUCCUUCCUUCACCUUCCUCUCCUGGCCGAGGGAACACUGGAUGGCUCCAUAGUGUAUGCCAUGCCACUGGCCUCCCUGUCUCUGCACCCGCAGGCCCUGUCAACCAACCGGCAAUUCUUCCUGUAGUCACAUCCUACUCAUUCAUCCAGGCCCAGACUCCAUGCACGUCCCCCAGAUAUCCUCUCUUGUCUCCCUGUUGGAAAGUGCUUCCUGCUUCUCUCCUCUGGCCACCCACAAAACCAUUGCUAUCCCUUAUCAGCCCUUUUCUGCAUACAUACAUACACACACACGCACACACACAUUCACACAUGUGCACACACACACACCCCUUACCAGCCCCCUUUCCACACACACACACACACACACACACACACACACACACACACACGGCUAAGCAUCCAUUGUGUACAUGCUGGGGAAGCAAUGAGGAAAAUGACCUUUGGGAGUGUUAAAGAAAAAGUGAGACCGGGCGCAGUGGCUCACACCUGUAAUCCCAGCACUUUGGGAGGCCAAGGCAGGAGGAUCACUUGAGCCCAGGAGUUCAAGACCAGCCUGACCAACAUGGCAAGACCCAGUCUUUACAAAAAAUGCAAAAAAAUUAGCCAGGCAUGGCAGCACAUACUUGUAGUCUCAGCUACUCAGGAGGCUGAGGUAGGAAUAUCAUCUGAGCCCGGGAGGUCGAUGCUGCAGCGAGCUGUGUUCGUGCCAUUGCCCUCCACCCUAGGUGACAGAGUGAGACUCUAUAGCAAAAAACAAAACAAAACCAUGAUUCAAUAAUACUUGUUAAAGCACUGUAAAGGCUGGGCACACACAGGAUAAAAGCCGGGCUCACGUCUAUAAUCCCAGAACUUUGGGAGGUGGAGGAGGGCAGAUCACCUGAGGUCAGGAGUUCGAGACCAGCCUGGCCAACAUGGUGAAACCCCAUCUCUACUAAAGAUACAAACAUUAGCUGGGCAUGGUGGCAGGCACCUAUAAUCCCAGCAACUCGGGAGGCUGAGGUAGAAAAUUACUUGAACCUGGGAGGCGGAGGCUGCAGUGAGCCAAGAUUGUGCCACUGCACUCCAGCCUGGGCAACACAGUGAGACUCCAUCUCAAACAAACAAAAAGGGCACGGUAAGGCAGCCUUUAUUCAGGAGCAUGGAGACAGACACAGGAAGCACUAGAGUGGAAUCCUGCAGUGGGGGAGAGAGAUCCGGCUCAACUCUGAAUACAGCACCAUAAGGUGGGGGUUGAGAACCAAGGAGCAGGAUGGGGGCCGGGAGGAUGGGAAAUUACUAAAAGCAACAUCGGGGUCGGGUAUUCCAGCUAAACUGACCUAACAAGAUUCUAGCUGAAGGUAGGCUAGGGUGACCAGACAUUACCUGGAGGCUGGUGGGGACUGAGGAACCUGACCAGACAUUAAGGGUGAUCAGGUUUUGAGGGUGGGGGAUUACACUACAGUGAGCUAGCAGGGUUCUUGCUGAAACUGCAUUUUAUAAGGAAGUACAUAGAUGGGUCUAGAAGAAGCCUCAGGGGCCUGGGGUAAAGCAGAGUCUUUGUCAGGAGCCUCCAGGUGACUUGUCUGCAGAGCUCAGGGGAGGAGAGGCCCCUGACCAGGGCUACCAGGCUAGACUGAGAAUAGACUCCUCUAUGGAGAAAACAUGCAGCAACCUGUAACUUAAAAGAGGGAUUUCCAGACUCAGAAAACCGUCAGGUCUUCAUAUGCAAGCUGGAACCAGAAAGUCUGAAGUUCUGCCUGCCUCUGCGAAUCGUCUCCCACCCCACCGCCUGUGGUCGCCAUUGUCCCUAAUUGCCCAGCGGAGCUUCCCCGGACAGGCCCCUCACCCCACCCUGCCAUCUUCACUGUUCUUAUGAUAAUGUGAAAGCUCCUUGCCCCAUCCUGCCAUCUUAACUGCUCUUCCGCCUUAGCCAACCCGCCAUUGUAACUGAACUUGUGGUCAUGGAGACUCCUUGCCUCUACCCCCCACCACUGUAACGGAUCUUACUGUACAACAUCCCCGCCCCCCAAAAUUACCCCAACUUAUAAAACCAAUUCCCACCCUUACUCCCUGCACCUGUCCUUUCUCAGGUUCCGCCUGCUUGCACCCAAGCGAGAAAUAAAAUGGCCUUAUUGCCCACACAAAGCCUGUUUGGAAAAUCUCUUUAUUAAAUGCAUUUAAAGCUGGGCACGGUGGCUCACGCCUGUAAUCCCUGCACUUUGGGAGGCCGAGGCGGGUGGAUCACGAGGUCAAGAGAUCGAGACCACCCUGGUCAACCUGGUGAAACCCCGUCUCCACUAAAAAUACAAAAAAUCAGCUGGGCAUGGAGGUGCAUGCCUGUAAUCCCAGCUACUCAGGAGGCUGAGGCAGGAGAAUUGCCUGAACCCAGGAGGCGGAGGUUUCGGUGAGCCCAGAUCGUGCCAUUGCACUCCAGCCUGGGUAACAAGGGCGAAACUCCGUCUCAAAAAAAAAAAAAAGCAUUUAAUAUUCGGUACUAUUGGAUGCAAAUAACAAAAACAACCAAAGCAACUCACUGUGCCUGAGGGGGCGUGGCCUACCUGGAACCCAAGGCAGCCUUCCUUCCUGGGAGGGAGCUGAAAGCGAGCAGGGGCUGACCACAAACUGUCCUGGAGGCCACGUUCAACUUUUGACUCCAGCGUAAUUGGAAAACCAGUGGCGUUUUUAAAGCAAAGAGGUUAUGCAAUGAGUCUAUAUUUUGCUAGAAUGUAAAACCCAUCAGGGCAGGGAUUUUGGUCUGUUUUAUUUCUGGAACACCUGGUAAGAACUGAAUAAACAAUUGUGUAAUGCAUGAGUGAGAGAAAGAGUGAAUGGGGUGCAGGAAGAUAGAUUAAGCUGGCGACAGGACAGGGAUUGACUUCAGUGGGCAGAGUUUGGUAAGGGAGGUCAGGAGGUUGGGAUACCAGGAGAGAGUGAGAAGGGCCAGCUGGCACAGAUGGCAGCUGGGGACAGAGUGGAGGGGACAAGUGGAGAGGUUUAGAGGUAACUUUACAGUGUCCUUCAUACUUCAAAAGUCUGGCACAGAGUAGUCACCUGUGGACAUUCUAGAUCUAAUCAAAGGCAGAACCACCUGGCCCUUGACUCCAGCAAUUCGAUGGCUGGCCCGGAAUUUCCUCCCUGGCAACCGUAUCAUUCUUACAGCAUUUCUUCCCAGUUUACUUAGAGCUUCUGCAGACAUUGCCUCAUCAGAUCCUUAUCACAGCCCUGAGAAGGGGGACUCAUUAGCUCCAUUUUAUAGACUCGGAAACAGAGGCCAAGAGAGGUUACGUGACUUCUCUGGGGUAACAUAUGGGAGACGUGGAAUUCAGACCCAGCCACCAGUCUCUGCCUCCAGGGUCCUUUCUGCUUCCUCCGUCAGUUGGAGAGAUAUGAUUAGCAAAUGUGAAAGAGAGCACCAGGCAGCAUAUGGAUUCAGCAUGAAAUGGGAUAUUAGUAGUGAUAUUAAUAAUAAUGAAUGGUGCUGAUGUUCAUCAAGUACUGUUGUGUGCCAGCUUCUACUCCAAGCACUUGACCCGAGUCCCCUCAUUCAUUCUUCAGACACUCUUUGGGUUUGAUCUGUCACUCUCCCCAUUUUACACGUAGCCAAGCACAUGAGAGACACCAAUGUGGGCUGAUGCCGCCAGGGAAGGCCUCAGAGAGGACAUAAGAUGCGGGUGGGAGAGGAAUAAGGCACACUGGAGACAGAUGUGGCUUCAGCAAAGGUGUGGAGGAGUGGGCAAGAAAGGAGGGGAGAAGCCAAUGGGUGUGUGAGACACGGCCUUGGCCUGCCUGCUCUCCAGGAGGGGCCAGGCCUGGCUGAUUGAGGUUUGGCCACAGUAGGUCCCUAGGGCAGGUUGAUGACAACAGAGUGAUAAGGGUGCCCUGGGCUGCGGUGAGGAAGAGGGGCGGAAGAGGGAGACAGCUGGCUGGUCAGGGCAGUGCGGGUUGGUUGGAAAUCCUGUGCUCAAGCUAUCCUCCCACCCCAGCCUCCCAAGUAGCUGUCACUACAGGCAGCAUGACUAUACCCAGCACAUUUUAUUAAUUUAUUUUUGAGAUAGGAUCUCCCUCUGUUUGCCCAGGCAGGUGUGCAGGGGUGCCAUCUUUGCUCACUGCAGCCUCAACCUCCCUGGCUCAGGUAGUUCUCCCACCUCAGUCUCCCAAGUAACUGGGACUACACGCACGUGCCACCAUACCCUGCUAAUGUUUGUCUUUUUAGUAGAGGUGGGGUUUUGCCAUGUUGCCCAGGCUGGUCUCAAACUCCUGGACUCAAGCAAUCUACCUGCCUCAGCCUCCUAAAGUGCUAGGAUAACAGGUGUGAGCCACUGCGCCCUGGCCAGCACCCAGCAAAUUUUAUGUAGCACAUUUUAAGAGGCCAAACCAGAUGUUUCACGACGGUGCCCAUAGCUUUUUGUUUGCUGCACAGUGUUGGUUCAUAUACUGUUGUUUUAGAAAAAUUAAUAAAAAAUCAGAACAUUUCAAAUCCAAAGCCAAAUUUACUGUUUCUGUUGGAAAGCGAGAAGAUCUGGCAAGGCAGGGCCUCACUUCCUUACGGCAGCAAUUGGCUGAAACACCUCUUGGCCACAGUCCCCACUAGUCCCUGUUGUUAUGCUCCACCUAUCUCACUCACUGAUGUCACUUGCUUGGCCCCCUUAGGCAUUGAGUUUUAACACCUGAUUUAGAGGAACUGCAGCAUGUUUGGAGAAGGGACCAGACUGUCUAGUGAUUUGGAACUAUAUCAUAUGAGGACCAGCUGGAGCAAUGGGGGAUAUUUACCCUCUAGGGGCUUGAUUACUGCUUUUACAUUCAAAGGGCUAAGAUAGAGGAGGGGUCAGAUCUGUUCUAUGCCACCACGGCAACAAACUAGAACCAGUGGACAUGUGUGCAGGGAGCGGGAGGGGAGGCAACAGGGAGGCAGAUUUCUGCUCAAACUGAGGCAGACUUUUGAACAUCAUAACCAUUUCAAGAUGCAACAGUCAUGUCAGGAAGUAGCGAGCUCCCUGGCAGAGUUGGGGGCCGUGUUUAGGCUAAGCCUGAGCCUGAGCAGCAGCUUCAUCAUGAAUGUUUAUAGAAAAUCCAAGUGUUACGUGGGCAGCUGAACUGGAUGCCCUUUGUGGUUUCUCCCAGCCCUCUAGGGCUGGGCUCUGUGCCCACAAAAGGGAUGCCAGCGUGAAGGAGAAGGAAGAGCACAAAAUGACUCCUCCACUGCUGGCCUGGAAGCCUGGAAGAUGCUGCCACUGGUGGGAGGGGCAGGAGAAGACAUUUUUGGUGAUGUAGCAUCAGAAAAGCAAGGGGUUUGGGUCAGACCAGUCAGGUCUUUUUUUUUUUUUUUGAGACAGAGUUUUGCUUUUGUUACCCAGGCUGGAGUGCAAUGGCACGAUCUCGGCUCACCGCAACCUCUGCCUCCUGGGUUCAAGCAAUUCUCCUGCCUCAGCUUCCUGAGUAUCUGGGAUUACAGGCACGCACCACCAUGCCCAGCUAAUUUGUUGUAUUUUUAGUACAGACAGGGUUUCACCAUGUUGACCAGGAUGGUCUCGAUCUCUUGACCUUGUGAUCCACCCACCUCCGCCUCCCAAAGUGCUGGGAUUACAGGCUUGAGCCACCGUUCCCGGCCCAGUCAGGUGUUUUAAGCUUUCCAUGUCUCUGUGUCUUCCUUGGAGUAUCUCCCAGUGUUGCCAGGAGGAUUUAGAUGAAAACAGCCUGCUAACCAAGACAGCUGGAUAAAGGUGAGUGCCCCACCCCCACUCCAGCCUGAGAGACCCUAGCGUUCUGGAACUGUGAAGAGCCACACCUGAGUUCUGGACCUGCCCUUAUGGCCAGAAGUCUGACAUCCAGUUUCUGUCUGUCAGAGGGAGAAGCAUGUUGGAUGACCUCCAGGGGCCCUGACAGCUCUGGGCCACUGCAGUCCUGAUGGGAACCUGCAUGCCUGAGCUCUCUGUCCAAAAGGGCCAGGAUGGAGGCCGGAGCAGAGGAGUUGGGAGGCCCUGGAGGCGGCUACUGCAAAUGUCCUUCCGUCACGGGAAAGGGAGAUGCUCAGAGCUCAGCUUUAGAUACGGUUUUGACUUUCAAAUGAUAAAUAUUAUCUUACACAUUAAAAAGUGCAGUUAAACCAAAAAAGAAAAAAAAAAAGCAAACCUGAAAUAGAAUACAAAUAGAAAAGAAGCCGGGAAUGGUUGCUCACUCCUGGAAUCCCAGCACUUUGGGAGGCUGAGGCAGGCAGAUCACUUGAGGCCAGGAGUUCGAGACCAACCUGGCCAAAAUGGUGAAAGUUCAUCUCUACUAAAAAUACAAAAAUUAGCUGGGUGUGGUGGCAGACAUAUGUAAUCCUAGCUACUAGGGAGGCUGAGACACAAGAAUCACUCCAACCUGGGAGGUGGAGGUUGCAGUGAGCCAGGAUUACGCCAAUGAACUCCAGCCUGGGCUACAGAGCAAGACCCUGUCUCAAAAUAAUAAUACUAAUAAUAAUACCAAUAGAAAAGAAAAUGAUGCCAGGUAUGGUGGCUCAUGCCUGUAACCACUUUGGGAGGCCAAAGCAGAAAGAUUGCUUGAGGCCAGCAGUUCAAGACCAGCCUGGGCAACAAAGCAAGACCCCCCCCCAACCCCAUCUCUAUAAAGAAGAAAAGGAAAAGCUAGCCAGGCAUAGUAGCAUACACAAGUAGUUCCAGCUACUCCGGAGGCUGAGGUGGGAGGAUUUUCUGAGCCUGGGAGGUCAAGGCUGCAGUGAGCUGAAAUCGCACCACUGCACUCCAGCCUGGGCAACAGAGUGAGAUCCUGUCUGGUCUGGAACUCCUGGGCUCAAGGGAUCCUCCCACCUCAGCCUCCCAAAGUGCUGGGAUUACAGUCGUGAGCCGCCAUGCCCAGCCUCUUUAUUUUGACAAGGUCUCACUCAGUUGUGCAGGCUGAAGUGCCAUGGCUCAAUCUAGGCUCACUGCAGCCUUGACCCCCCAGGUGCAAGUGAUCCUCAUGCCUCAGCCUCUUGAGUAGCUGGGACUAUGGGUAUGCACCACCAUGUCUGGCUAAUUUUUAAAUUUUUUUAAAUAGAAACAGGGUCUUGCUUUGUUGUCCAGGCUGGUCUUGAACUUCUGGGCUCAAGUGAUCCACCUGUCUUGGCCUCCCAAAGUACUGAAAUUAUAGAGCUGAGCCCCUGAGCCCAGCAUGAUGAUGUAUUUCUGAAACGAUUUGGUGUAUUCUUCAGCCUUCAUGUAUUUCUGUGAUUUUGAAAAGCAGUGUUAUUCGUCUGGGCUCACUGUGAUUGCUCACAGCAAAGCAAACAUUUCAACAAGUAGAUACCUGGCAAGUAACCCCCGCAGCAUGUGGGACUCAGCCCAGCUGAAAACAGCCUCCACGCCUCAGCCCCAAGGCUGUCGUGGGUCGCUGAGUGGAUAGUGUCCCCUGUAGGACAAUGCUUGCCAAGCGCCUUCCCCCGAAACAUCUUGUGUAGCACAUGCAUUACAAUUUACA